UUUCCGUAGGUGAACCUGCGGAAGGAUCAUUAUUGUAUAACCGAGGUGCGAGGGCUGUCGCUGACCCGAAAGGUCGUGCACGCCCGAGUGCCCUCACACACAUCCAUCUCACCCCUAUGUGCACCACCGCGUGGGUCCCCCUUUGGCUUGUUCGGAGGGGGGCUUACGUUUUCACACAAACUUUGUAUGCAGUGUAGAAUGUAUUUUUUGUUUUUGCGAUCACGCAAUCAAUACAACUUUCAACAACGGAUCUCUUGGCUCUCGCAUCGAUGAAGAAC
RNAcentral lists this unclassified non-coding RNA (278 nucleotides) under plant metagenome. RNAcentral's name for it is "partial contains small subunit ribosomal RNA, internal transcribed spacer 1, and 5.8S ribosomal RNA". The stretch from base 235 to 278 matches the Rfam family "5.8S ribosomal RNA", at positions 1 to 44 of the family's 154-position model. The record is from RNAcentral.